UACCGAAGACUAUCAAACUCCGAAUGCCGUCAUCUUAUACUUGGGAGUCAGACUGUGGGUGAUAAGAUCCAUAGUCGUAAGGGCAACAGCCCCGAUCCUCAGCUCAGGCCCCUAACUGUAAGUUCAGCGGUAAAGGAUCAGGCCUUGCACAGACAACCAGGAUGCUCGCUUAGCAGCAGCCACUCAUCCACCGAGUGCGUAAUAGCCCACUGGUCGAGUGACCUUGCGCCGAAGACUUCCGGGGCUAAAACUUAC
Molecule: ribosomal RNA, 255 nt
Filed under: Clostridioides difficile
Lineage: Bacteria; Bacillati; Bacillota; Clostridia; Peptostreptococcales; Peptostreptococcaceae
Description: partial 23S ribosomal RNA
Rfam family: Bacterial large subunit ribosomal RNA
Source: RNAcentral